This 219-nucleotide long non-coding RNA is filed under the name Elaeis guineensis (African oil palm). RNAcentral describes it as "long non-coding RNA (EGUI_LNC004474)". The record is from RNAcentral. Lineage: Eukaryota; Viridiplantae; Streptophyta; Magnoliopsida; Arecales; Arecaceae.
GGUCAUUAUCCAAACGUCUUUCAUACCUCCCACAGCACGCAAGUAUCUAUUAAAAUAAACAAUCAUUUUGUUAAAGAUUGGUCUGCAUGGGAGGUGAGGAUGCAUGAUGGGAGAAUGGGUUAGGUUGGGUUGCUUUCAAAUCAUGAAUGAUUUUUGGCCAUUCAUCUACAAAGGACGAUAAUGUUUCUUUGCCUCACCCACCAAUAUUGUUUUAAUAGC